CGACCGGCGCACGGUGAGUAACACGUAUCCAACCUGCCGUCUACUCUUGGCCAGCCUUCUGAAAGGAAGAUUAAUCCAGGAUGGCAUCAUGAGUUCACAUGUCCGCAUGAUUAAAGGUAUUUUCCGGUAGACGAUGGGGAUGCGUUCCAUUAGUUUGUUGGGGGGGUAACGGCCCACCAAGACUACGAUGGAUAGGGGUUCUGAGAGGAAGGUCCCCCACAUUGGAACUGAGACACGGUCCAA
RNAcentral lists this ribosomal RNA (243 nucleotides) under uncultured bacterium. RNAcentral describes it as "partial 16S ribosomal RNA". It matches the Rfam family "Bacterial small subunit ribosomal RNA", at positions 92 to 334 of the family's 1533-position model. The record is from RNAcentral.